CGACCGGCGCACGGGUGAGUAACACGUAUCCAACCUGCCGAUAACUCGGGGAUAGCCUUUCGAAAGAAAGAUUAAUAUCCGAUAGCAUAUCAAGAUCGCAUGAUCUUGAUAUUAAAGAAUUUCGGUUAUCGAUGGGGAUGCGUUCCAUUAGUUAGUUGGCGGGGUAACGGCCCACCAAGACGACGAUGGAUAGGGGUUCUGAGAGGAAGGUCCCCCACAUUGGAACUGAGACACGGUCCAAACUCCUACGGGAGGCAGCAG
Molecule: ribosomal RNA, 261 nt
Filed under: uncultured bacterium
Lineage: Bacteria
Description: partial 16S ribosomal RNA
Rfam family: Bacterial small subunit ribosomal RNA
Source: RNAcentral